Molecule: long non-coding RNA, 584 nt
Filed under: Spirodela polyrhiza (greater duckweed)
Lineage: Eukaryota; Viridiplantae; Streptophyta; Magnoliopsida; Alismatales; Araceae
Description: long non-coding RNA (SPOL_LNC000754)
Source: RNAcentral
UGGCUGGAGAGGAUGACCUUGGCACCGUUGUCGACGAGGUACUUGAUGGUGGGGAUGGCCGCCCUGAUACGGGUGUCGUCAGUGAUGUUCCGGCUCUCGUCGAGGGGAACGUUGAGAUCGGCCCUGACGAACACCUUCUUCCCCUUGAGGUCCGCCCCUGUCAGAUCCCCCACGCUCUUCUUCGCCAUGGAGACCACCCCUCGUGGGCCUCUCCCCGCGGGUCCUGCAACCUCCCUCACCCUCGAGGCGACGUUCAGGGCCAGGCACGGGUCGGCGGCGGCGCCGGCGAAGCCCAGCCGCCGGAGGGGGCUCUUGAGGGCGAGCCCAGCGCGCGCCGGGGAGACGCCGACGGCAUUGCGGCGGGAGGAUGAGGAGGAAGACGAAGGGAGGAGGGAGAGGGAGCUGGGUGCCGCAGCUGCCAUGGCGGGUCUCCUGGAGAGAGGGAGAGAGAGAGGAGAGAAGCUAGCCGGAGCCUGCUGCCGCUGCUGACCGGGGUGGAGACGAGGGGCAGAGGAGCCACGGGUAGUCUUAUUCCUUCAAUUUUGAUCUGAAUUUCGGAUUCUCCCUGGUUUUGUGGAUGAGAG